RNAcentral lists this ribosomal RNA (317 nucleotides) under uncultured eukaryote. Its description in RNAcentral is "partial large subunit ribosomal RNA". It matches the Rfam family "Eukaryotic large subunit ribosomal RNA", at positions 40 to 350 of the family's 3401-position model. The record is from RNAcentral.
AUAUUAUUAAGCGGAGGAAAAGAAACUAACAAGGAUUCCCCUAGUAACGGCGAGCGAAAAGGGAUAAGCUCAAAUUUAAAAUCUCCGGCCCCUCGGGUCGGCGAAUUGUAGUUUAGAGAGGCGUUUUCUGGUGUUGGGCCGGGCCUAAGUCCCUUGGAACAGGGUAUCAUAGAGGGUGAGAAUCCCGUCUGUGGCUCGGAUUCCGACCCUUUACGUGGCGUCCUCGAAGAGUCGGGUUGUUUGGGAAUGCAGCCCCAAAUGGGUGGUAAACUUCACCUAAAGCUAAAUAUUGGCGAGAGACCGAUAGCGCACAAGUA